Long non-coding RNA from Passer domesticus (house sparrow), 587 nucleotides. RefSeq lists it as uncharacterized. The transcript has 2 exons. The record is from RefSeq and is a predicted model, not a curated record. Lineage: Eukaryota; Metazoa; Chordata; Aves; Passeriformes; Passeridae.
GACAGGUUAAACUAAGGCAAACCCCCAAAUCUAAAGCAGGGACAGGGCCUGUCAGAUCUUCCCUACCAUGCAGGAUUUGGGGACCUGAGGCCUUCACAGGAGAAUGAGUGUCAAUAAUUUAAGGCAAAGAUUACUCCAGGGAUUCAGAUAGGGCAAGGCAGACUAAUGGAGAGAAGCACUGACUUACAAAGUUACAUGACUUGAGGUCCACAAAGUUUCCUGUGCCUUCAUUCCAAAGCCAAGAGGACUUUCCAAUUCACAGUGUGGGAUGCUGUCUGAAGCUGGGUUAAAGCCACACUUUCCUAGUCUCCAGCAAAAAGUCUCUGGGACUGACCUACACAUCUCUCAGGAACAGAUACGCUUCCUUUACUUGAUCAGACUCACUGGACAGUAACAGUGACAUGAAGUCCUCAUGCCUGUAUCUCAGAUUCUGGCAAUAACCCCUGCAGGUGGUGGUGCUGGCAGCAAUGAGGAUAAUAUUUGUCCCUCUCUUCUGUGUUGGAGCUCUGGUGGAUCCAAACAAUCCACCUAGUUACUUUUUCUCUAAAGCAAAACAAAACAAAACAAAACAAUACAAAACAAAACAA